This is a long non-coding RNA of Gallus gallus (chicken), 574 nucleotides long. The record is from Ensembl. Lineage: Eukaryota; Metazoa; Chordata; Aves; Galliformes; Phasianidae.
GUUUUAUUGCCUGGGCCACAUUGACUGGGGAGGAAUCGUCUUGGGCUGCCAACGAAAUAUAUAAUGUAGCUCAUUUCUCAAGCCUCUCAUGAAGAACACGGUGACAUGCUUAAGUGCCAAAGAAGAAGGAAGGCACGCUGAUGAAAAACAGACAUUGCAGCCAUUAGCAUCGAUCAGCAAUUGAUCAGUGUAUAUGUAAGCAAAGAGGCUGGACUGUUCAACAAGUUUUACUGUUCUUCCUGAACACAGCAUUGUGGCUUUUAAGAGAUAAUCAGAAGCUUUGAAAAGAGCCAGUACACCAUUCCCACUGAACUGCAAAACUUAGGAGGACAAUUAUUUAGCUCUGCCAACAGACACCAGCCCAGUUCUUGUUCUACCCAAAGAUCCUCUAGCCAUUAAACUGACACUGCAAAGCUAUUCAAGAGUGAUAGCCUAUAUAGAGCAACGUCAGCCUGAGAUACUCAAAACUCACUUCAUUUGUGACCCAAGUCAUAUUUGCAUUGCCAUCUACAAAAGUAAAGACUAAAAAAUACCGUUAAACAGAGCAGAAAUUACCAGCUAUGACACAUUAUAU